GGCGGCUGCUUCUUCCACCAACAUCCUGCAAUCCACAGUCAGCCUCCUCGUGGGGUCUCUCGCCCUUCUUCUUCAUCUCUACUGUUAAGAUGCUCAGGCCUGGAAACAUCUUCCUGUCUCCAACCCAGCACAGGCGACAUGGAGAAGCGUCAGAAGACCCUGGAAUCGUAGGCGAGUAUGGAUGUGACAUCUUACAGCGCUCCAAGGACAGAGGGCAGUCCAACUUGUAGCCAGCCACAUUUCCCACGAAGCAAUGUGGACUCUCCAAACUCUACCUGGAGAAAAACAUUAGUUUUCACCUUGAUGUAGAGAAGGAUGGGAGGUAGACUGCAGGUGGUUUCCAUUGUGUUCCACCAGAUCUGUAAGGCCAUAAAAACCAAUCCUUAACCA
Ochotona princeps (American pika) is the source of this 390-nucleotide long non-coding RNA. RefSeq lists it as uncharacterized. The transcript has 2 exons. Lineage: Eukaryota; Metazoa; Chordata; Mammalia; Lagomorpha; Ochotonidae. The record is from RefSeq and is a predicted model, not a curated record.